Molecule: ribosomal RNA, 505 nt
Filed under: uncultured Bacteroidaceae bacterium
Lineage: Bacteria; Pseudomonadati; Bacteroidota; Bacteroidia; Bacteroidales; Bacteroidaceae
Description: bacterial SSU rRNA
Rfam family: Bacterial small subunit ribosomal RNA
Source: RNAcentral
AAGCUUGCUUCAUUGAUGGCGACCGGCGCACGGGUGAGUAACACGUAUCCAACCUUCCGCUGACUCGGGGAUAGCCUUUCGAAAGAAAGAUUAAUACCCGAUAGCAAAGGACUUCCGCAUGGAUAUCCUUUUAAAGGAUUCCGGUCAGCGAUGGGGAUGCGUUCCAUUAGAUAGUUGGCGGGGUAACGGCCCACCAAGUCAACGAUGGAUAGGGGUUCUGAGAGGAAGGUCCCCCACAUUGGAACUGAGACACGGUCCAAACUCCUACGGGAGGCAGCGGUGAGGAAUAUUGGUCAAUGGGCGAGAGCCUGAACCAGCCAAGUAGCGUGAAGGAAGACUGCCCUAUGGGUUGUAAACUUCUUUUAUACUGGAAUAAAGUCAUCCACGUGUGGAUGUUUGUAUGUACCGUAUGAAUAAGGAUCGGCUAACUCCGUGCCAGCAGCCGCGGUAAUACGGAGGAUCCGAGCGUUAUCCGGAUUUAUUGGGUUUAAAGGGAGCGUAGGCG